RNAcentral lists this non-coding RNA (31 nucleotides) under Mus musculus (house mouse). Lineage: Eukaryota; Metazoa; Chordata; Mammalia; Rodentia; Muridae. The record is from RNAcentral.
UGAAUGUCUCCCGUGAAGAUCCACUAUAACU